This 406-nucleotide ribosomal RNA is filed under the name uncultured bacterium. Its description in RNAcentral is "partial 16S ribosomal RNA". It matches the Rfam family "Bacterial small subunit ribosomal RNA", at positions 29 to 526 of the family's 1533-position model. The record is from RNAcentral.
AUUGAACGCUGGCGGCAGGCCUAACACAUGCAAGUCGAACGAGUGGCGGACGGGUGAGUAAUGUCUGGGAAACUGCCCGAUGGAGGGGGAUAACUACUGGAAACGGUAGCUAAUACCGCAUACCAUCGGAUGUGCCCAGGUGGGAUUAGCUAGUAGGUGGGGUAACGGCUCACCUAGGCGACGAUCCCUAGCUGGUCUGAGAGGAUGACCAGCCACACGGGAACUGGAACCGGGGCCGGACUCCUAGGGGGGGCAGAGGUGGGGAAUAUUGCACAAUGGGCACAGGCCGGAUGCAGCAAUGCCGGGUGUAUGAAGAGGGCCUUCGGGUUGUAAAGGACUUUCAGCGAGGAGACGUUACUCGCAGAAGAAGCACCGGCUAACUCCGUGCCAGCAGCCGCGGUAAUAC